This 71-nucleotide transfer RNA is filed under the name Bos taurus (domestic cattle). It matches the Rfam family "tRNA". From Rfam's summary of the family: Transfer RNA (tRNA) molecules are approximately 80 nucleotides in length. Lineage: Eukaryota; Metazoa; Chordata; Mammalia; Artiodactyla; Bovidae. RNAcentral also lists the same sequence under 4 other names. The record is from Rfam by way of RNAcentral.
UCCCUUGUAGCUCAGUUGGUAAAGAAUCUGCCUGCAAUGCAGGAGACCUGGGUUCGAUCCCCAUGUUGGAA